Non-coding RNA from Paramuricea clavata, 366 nucleotides. Lineage: Eukaryota; Metazoa; Cnidaria; Anthozoa; Malacalcyonacea; Plexauridae. The record is from the annotation of a GenBank genome assembly.
GUGAUGUAGCCAACCCCGUGCGCAUAAAAUAGCAAGCCCUGUGGUUGAACUGUUUUGAAUCGUAGGCUGAGAGUAUCCGACGUUCCAAAUAUCGAUGUAUUCGUUCCAAGUAGAUCGAAUUUGAUGUAUUCUGAUCCGCGAACACUCACUUCGGCACAGUCCAUGAAACAAAGACAACACAACAGUAAAGAAACGAUAACACAAUAUCGAAUCAUUCUCAAUUCUUGUGAACUUCGUGCACCAAAUAUACCCUCUCCAACGAGUCCAGUGUACUCUAAAAUCUAAAUAUGCUUCGCUCUUUUCCAAUUCAGUGGAGGAGAUAGACUCAUUAACCAUAUUAACCAAUGACAGCUUAGUGGUCAAUGA